ACGGCUCAGUAACACGUGGACAACCUGCCCUUAGGUUGGGUAUAAACCCGGGAAACUGGGUAUAAUACCCGAUAGGUCUCGAUUGCUGGAAUGCAUCGAGAUUUAAAGCUCCGGCGCCUAAGGAUGGGUCUGCGGCCUAUCAGGUAGUAGUGGGUGUAGCGUACCUACUAGCCUACGACGGGUACGGGUUGUGAGAGCAAGAGCCCGGAGAUGGAUUCUGAGACACGAAUCCAGGCCCUACGGGGUGCAGCAGGCGCGAAAACUUUACAAUGCUGGCAACAGCGAUAAGGGAACCUCGAGUGCCAGGUUACAAAUCUGGCUGUCGAGAUGCCUAAAAAGCAUUUCAUAGCAAGGGCCGGGCAAGACCGGUGCCAGCCGCCGCGGUAACACCGGCGGCUCGAGUGGUAACCGUUAUUAUUGGGUCUAAAGGGUCUGUAGCCGGCCGGAUAAGUCUCUUGAGAAAUCUGGCAGCUUAACUGUCAGGCUUUCAGGAGAUACUGUCUGGCUCGAGGCCGGGAGAGGUGAGAGGUACUUCAGGGGUAGGGGUGAAAUCUUGUAAUCCUUGAAGGACCACCAGUGGCGAAGGCGUCUCACCAGAACGGACCUGACGGCAAGGGACGAAAGCUAGGGGCACGAACCGGAUUAGAUACCCGGGUAGUCCUAGCCGUAAACGAUACUCGCUAGGUGUCGGCCACGGUGCGACCGUUGUCGGUGCCGUAGGGAAGCCGUGAAGCGAGCCACCUGGGAAGUACGGCCGCAAGGCUGAAACUUAAAGGAAUUGGCGGGGGAGCACCACAACGGGUGGAGCUUGCGGUUUAAUUGGAUUCAACGCCGGAAAUCUUACCGGGACCGACAGCAAUAUGAAGGCCAGGCUGAAGACUUUGCCGGAUUGGCUGAGAGGUGGUGCAUGGCCGUCGUCAGUUCGUACUGUGAAGCAUCCUGUUAAGUCAGGCAACGAGCGAGACCCCUGCC
RNAcentral lists this ribosomal RNA (972 nucleotides) under uncultured archaeon. RNAcentral's name for it is "bacterial SSU rRNA". It matches the Rfam family "Archaeal small subunit ribosomal RNA", at positions 85 to 1058 of the family's 1478-position model. The record is from RNAcentral.